Sceloporus undulatus (fence lizard) is the source of this 2479-nucleotide long non-coding RNA. RefSeq lists it as uncharacterized. Lineage: Eukaryota; Metazoa; Chordata; Lepidosauria; Squamata; Phrynosomatidae. The transcript has 11 exons. The record is from RefSeq and is a predicted model, not a curated record.
CGGGAGCGCUAAACAACUCCGGAUCAGAAAGAAAGAAUAUAUAUAUAGAGAGAAGAGACAAGGAAGGAGUGGAUAGACAUACAUUUGGGUCUCUAAGGCUGGUAAAAAGGAACCAGAUCGCUUGGUGACUGGAUUUGGUCCCCUUCAACCAGCUGUAGAGGCACAUGAAAGCUGCAUUGGAAAGUUUGGUCUCGUUCCAUGUAUCUCCACAUGCCAAAAUUGUUUUAUUUCAUUGUUUUAAUUUUAUUUUACACUCAGCCCUCCAUAUCCACUGCUUCUUUAUCCACGACUUCAGCUUGAAAAUAUAUGAAUUCCAAAAAGCAAGCCUUCAUUUUGUUAUUUUAUAUCAGGGACCUGUUUUUACUAUGCCACUAGAUAUAAUGAGAUGCUGUUAUGAAGGUUUUCCUAAGCAAGGAAGGCUCAGAGGUAGCAUUGCCAGUUCCUUCCUCUGAGACAGAGCCUCUCAACCACACAAGGGUUUCCAGAGGCAGGGGAUGGCUGAGUUGCUAAUCUGGACACCUCUCAGAGUUCAGGGUCUCAGCCGUUGGAAAAUGAUUCCCCAACCAUCCAAGACAGGGAAGAACGCAAUGCCAAUAUGAAUCACUCCCAAAGAAUCCAGACAGAACCCCCGGAGAUGGGCACAUUUAAUCCCAAUUCACCCAUCAUCUUACAGGAUUUAGACAAUGAUGGAACGGAAGCUAUGUAUUAUCCAUCGUCCUGUUCAGAGAGCACCCAAGAUGAAUGUGGUCUGAUCCCUUACGAAGGCUCUCCUUUGUCAUCACAGGAGAUGAAAUCACAUCUACACAGUCUGUGCAAACAGUUCUCCCAUUCCCCCGGUAUAAUGCCAUUGGUUAUAGCAGACACCGUCGCCCAGAACUAUCUGGACAUCUUUAUAUAGCAUGUCUUGGAAGCAGACGACACGGAGUGUCUUGGCCUACAGAUGGGUGUGCUAAAGUCAUCAAAAUGCAAUGUGGAUAAGAUGGUAUGCCUCUUGAUUUGCAUGAUUCGUGGGGGACCUUGCGCUUUCCCUGUUGAGGCAGGGAAAGAGUCUGGGAUUAAGAUAAGGGCACUCAGUUUCCUUGCAAUAAUUAUCCAUUUCGUGGACCAGACAGAAAAGUUAGACAAAUGGAUCCCUGACUUUCAUGCCAUCUUUUCAAAUUUCAUCGCAGAGGACAUCCUUACACCUCGGUGGCCAUAUGACAUAACUUGGGUCGAAAUGUCACUAAAGCAAGCAGCCAGUGUCAUUAAGGUCAUGAAUAUGAGAUGGAACGUGCUCACCUCCGUCUUCUUGAACAAUUGUGCCUUUCAUUAGGCAAACAAUCCCACCAUGGGACUGAAAGACCAUCACCUCUGGUUCCCAAAUGGUUCUAUUGUGUUUGUUUUAAAUCAGUAUUGUAUUUGGUAUUGCAGUACUGCAUUGCUGCAUCUUUUGUUAUUAUUGUACUGGUUUGAUACUAUGGUAUGAUACUAUGGUAUUUUUUAUUAAUGUAAAUAUUGCUCUCUAGAUCGGUUUAUGGCUAGCCAAGUAAAAAACAACAACAAUUGCUUUCUCUGAUCUUGUCCACGCAAAUAAACCCCCCAUGGGACUGAAAGGCCAUCACUUCCGGCUGAUGCCAUGACCCCAAAGGGAAAUCCAGGAUUGCAAGCUGCCAGAGGGAACUCUAGCCCCUGCUGAGUAGAGAGGUCACCUCUUAGGACUCUCUUCUGUUGUAUUUGGGGGAGGAGAAAGAUGCCAUCGCAUGUAAAGAUGUACAGUUGUCCCUCCGAAUUUAUGGGGUAACCGUUCGUUCCAAAGCUGCCAGUUCGGAGGGACGACUGUAUUUUGGAGCAGUGUGUACUCUGCUGCCUCAUCCUUGAGUCCAGAAUAUUUCUCUUUUUUUCAUAGCCUCCCACCCAAAAUACACAGAAGCAUUCAUAACAAGGAAGAUGAUGAGUAACAAAUGUACGGCGGGCCCUACUAUGAGGCUGGCUUUCAGAGAGCAUGCAGAACCAGUUCUGAUGCCAGAGAGAGGAUGAAGCAGAGGCAGGGGCAGAGACUCAUCCACCUCUUGCCCUUGGCCUGUCUGCAUGUUCUCCUCUGUCCUGUCCUUGCGACCCCUUGGCAACACGGACUGGCGUGGGGACACCAGGAGGGCAAGAAAACCAGUCACCCCUGGCUAGGAAGGGAGGAUGCCACCGUGCCAACGGUGUUGCAACACAAGCUGAGGAGUGGGGGGCGGUUGGAAAGGAGAAUUUAAAGGAGACGGGUCCCCACCCCAAGGACUAUGUGGGAAAUUUUCCUCUACCAUCAGCUCCCCAAAUGGCCAACAUCUUAGGGUUCAGGGGAGGUUUUUUUUUUAAACUGAGGUUGGCACCCAAAACCUACAACCCCCCAAAAGUGCACCUGCUAGAAGACCAGUCUGGAGACAUUUUACUAUUGUGUUUUUUAAAUUAUUAUUUAUUUUCUAUUGUAUUGCUGCAUUCUGUGUCUUUGGUUAUA